Molecule: ribosomal RNA, 683 nt
Filed under: uncultured Vibrionaceae bacterium
Lineage: Bacteria; Pseudomonadati; Pseudomonadota; Gammaproteobacteria; Vibrionales; Vibrionaceae
Description: bacterial SSU rRNA
Rfam family: Bacterial small subunit ribosomal RNA
Source: RNAcentral
CGCGGGAUUAGAGUUUGAUCCUGGCUCAGAUUGAACGCUGGCGGCAGGCCUAACGCAUGCAAGUCGAGCGGUAACAGAGAUUAGCUUGCUAAUCUGCUGACGAGCGGCGGACGGGUGAGUAAUGCAUAGGAAGUUGCCCAGUAGAGGGGGAUACCAGUUGGAAACGACUGUUAAUACCGCAUAACCUCUUUGGAGCAAAGCAGGGGACCUUCGGGCCUUGCGCUACUGGAUACGCCUAUGUGGGAUUAGCUAGUUGGUGAGGUAAUGGCUCACCAAGGCGACGAUCCCUAGCUGGUCUGAGAGGAUGAUCAGCCACACUGGGACUGAGACACGGCCCAGACUCCUAAGGGAGGCAGCAGUGGGGAAUAUUGCACAAUGGGCGAAAGCCUGAUGCAGCCAUGCCGCGUGUAUGAAGAAGGCCUUCGGGUUGUAAAGUACUUUCAGUUGUGAGGAAGGUUGUGUAGUUAAUAGCUGCAUAAUUUGACGUUAGCAACAGAAGAAGCACCGGCUAACUCCGUGCCAGCAGCCGCGGUAAUACGGAGGGUGCGAGCGUUAAUCGGAAUUACUGGGCGUAUAGCGCAUGCAGGUGGUUUGUUAAGUCAGAUGUGAAAGCCCGGGGCUCAACCUCGGAAGGUCAUUUGAAACUGGCAAACUAGAGUACUGUAGAGGGGGGUAGAAUUUCA